This 616-nucleotide long non-coding RNA is filed under the name Marmota monax (woodchuck). Lineage: Eukaryota; Metazoa; Chordata; Mammalia; Rodentia; Sciuridae. The record is from RNAcentral.
GUUUCAGUUAGGGUCUGGUUUAGAGAUAGGUUUAGUGUUAAAUGCAGGGUCAGUGUUCAGGUUAGAGAUAGAGUUAAGGUUUAAGCCAGAAUUAUGAUUAGGUUUAUGUCUAGGAUUAGGUUUAGUCUUUGUGUUAGGUUAAGGGUUAUUGUUAGGGCUAGGACUAGGGGUUAUUUUUAGGUCUAGGGCUAGAGUUAAGAUACAUUGAGAAUCAUGUUUAGGUCUAUGGCUCAUUAUAGGGUUAGGUUUAGGUGUAAGUAUUGAUAGGGCUAGUGUUAAUGUUUUGUCUAGAGUUAGGGUCAGGUUUAGACCUAGGGUUAUUCUGACCAUAACACUUUAUGGUCAGAAUAAGGUUCAGGGUUAGAGUUAGGGUUAGGGUUUGGAAUAGGGUUAGAGCAAGAGUGAGGGCUAGGUUUAGGACUAGUAAUUGAGUUAGGGAUAUUGUUAAACUUAGGAUUAGGGAUAGGUCUAGGGUUACCAUUAGGGUUAGCAUUUUGCUUAUGGUUAGGGAUAGGGUUAGAGCUAGUAUUAGGGGUAGCAUUUGGGUUAGGGUUAAAGGUAGAUUUAGGGCUCAGUUAGGGCUAGUUUUUUCUGUUAGGUUUAGGGCUAAGAUGAG